GACGGAGGGUGCAAGCGUUGUUCGGAUUGACUGGGCGUAAAGGGCGUGUAGGCGGUCGGCCAAGUCUGAUGUGAAAGCCCGAGGCUCAGCCUCGGAAGUGCGUCGGAAACUAGUCGGCUGGAGCGCGAUAGAGGAGGGUGGAAUUCCUGGUGUAGCGGUGAAAUGCGUAGAUAUCAGGAGGAACACCGGCGGCGAAGGCGGCCCUCUGGAUCGUUGCUGACGCUGAUACGCGAAAGCGUGGGUAGCAAACAGG
This 253-nucleotide ribosomal RNA is filed under the name uncultured bacterium. Its description in RNAcentral is "partial 16S ribosomal RNA". It matches the Rfam family "Bacterial small subunit ribosomal RNA", at positions 524 to 776 of the family's 1533-position model. The record is from RNAcentral.